CUAAAUUGAAAUGCGGCAUACUGACAAAAGUAAAUCAGGGCAUGGCAAACAAGUCCUGAAUCAGGACUUUGACACAAUAAUCAAACGGAGUGUCCUAUGUAGACGCGCUCAAGUUUCAUAACAACGGAAAUGCAAAAGUUUUGGGCAAAACAAAGCACCCAACUUUUUUAUUUCUCUUGGCAAUUAUGUGCUCAAGGAAAGAGACAGGACGUGGAAUGAGAGAGAGAUAGGGAUAGAGCUGGAGCCCAGUCAAAUAAUGAUAAUGAAGCACACGAGGCUCGGCCAAAAGGAUUUUUCAAGAAGAAAAGUGCACAAAAAGUUGAAAAUAAAUCGUAACACGCUUUUCUGAACAUUUUUUUCUCAUUUUUUUUUUUUUUGCGACU
Long non-coding RNA from Drosophila ananassae, 383 nucleotides. RefSeq lists it as uncharacterized. NCBI's taxonomy places the organism in Eukaryota, Metazoa, Arthropoda, Insecta, Diptera, Drosophilidae. The transcript is spliced from 2 exons. The record is from RefSeq and is a predicted model, not a curated record.